This 4541-nucleotide unclassified non-coding RNA is filed under the name Hevea brasiliensis (rubber tree). Lineage: Eukaryota; Viridiplantae; Streptophyta; Magnoliopsida; Malpighiales; Euphorbiaceae. The record is from RNAcentral.
UUUUUCCUGGCAAACAUUUCAUCUAAGCCUCAUUUAAAUAGGUGUGAAUUUCUAAUGAUUUUUUGUAGAAGUAAAUUGAGAGUUUAGGUUGAAUGUUUUCAUUUAAAUGAGUUUAUCUUUCAACAGAUUAUUAGGGAAAACUAAUUGUAUGUGCUUCUGCUAGUUUUCUUUGAUUAAGAAGAAUAACUUCUGUAAAUAAUAAUGGAUAAAUUUUCUUUGAUUUCUUGUAUGUUAUGGACCAAAAUGUUAGAAAUUGUAAAUCCUAGAUUCAACAGUCUUCACAUAUUGGAGAAUAUUCUAGUGAAUUAAUCUGUCACAUGAAAAAGCAUGUAGAACUAAGAUUACUCUAACAACUUAUUGAAGGAAUAAAGCAUCAGAUAAUCAUUAUUAAUUGUGUAUAUGUUUACUAUGAAUUAUCAAACAUCUGUCUUUUCUGCAACUGUUUCAUAAAUAAGUAUGCGUAUAAAGCCUCUUCCUCUUUAAAAUGCACUUCCUUUACAUUUAUUUUUUUUAGCAAACAUCAGAGAAUAUUGAAUUAGUCAAGAGGAUUCAGAAAUCAUCAAGAACAAAAGUGGAGACAACAGGAGGCACAUCCUCCAAAUCCUUUCUCAGGUUAACUACAAAUUUACCAUUACUUUUUCCAUAAGAGAAAAAAAAUUAGAUCAUUGUAUAUAGUUUUUAUUUUUCUUUUAUUUCCUCUGUCAAUUUUCUAGAUAAAGUAAGUGAGAGAGACAACACAUACUUGACUUGUCCUUGUUUGACAAUUCCAACCUCAAUUUGGUCUGCUUGAACUACGGCAGAGAUAACACUAGAUCCAUCAAGAUUAAUAUUAUCACCACUUCCACUGGCAUCAUCAUGUAGCCUAGAUUGGACUUCUGCAAGAUGGACUUUUGAUGGCAGUGAUUCGGCAGAGGCUCUUAAUAUCUUGUGGCACAUUACAGUAUCCUGGAAAUCCAAGAAAGUGUAAUCUACAAAUUGUAAUCUCUCAGAGUCUGUCAUUUUUGAAAAUCCAAAUGAACCAGUCCACGUGUUUAACACACUAGAAACAGCAGGCAAAAUGAGUCUCUGGACUCCUAAUUCCUUGAGUUUCUUUUCCAGCACAUUCAUUAGAAUGCGACACAUUCCAAGCCGACGAUACUGAAAUCUAGUACCAACAAGUGGUAUUUCAGCCACCUUCUCUCCAUAGACCCUCACAGCAGCCACUGUAAUAAAUUCAUCAUCCUUUUGCAAAAGUACUGUAUAGAAUCCUCGAAAGUUAAGACGGUUGAGUUCUGACUCCUUACUAAAUAUAACAUCUUUAAGAAGAUCUCUCUUGGUGUGAGGUUCUUCAACAGGCUCAAAACACUCGUGCAUCACAUCAAGUGCAAUACUGAGCUUGCUGUAGAUCUCAGUCAGGGCCUCAAUAUCAGAAGAAUCAUGUUUCUGACUAUCAGACUGGAUGAAUUUUAACAGUGUCCAAGAAAGAUUGUUUGAACCCACUGGAAUUGGUUUUCCUAGAAGCUUAUGGAGGCCCAAGAAAAUCACUUCACACUUUUUGCUGCAAAACCAAUGUUCGUUGGGAAAGCAUUCCAAGCUAUCUUCAUUUCUAAUCCUUAGGCAUCCAAUGUGAUAUUUACGCUCGCAUUGAGUACAACAAAGAACCAGAUCAUCAUCCAAAGAAAAUACAGUGUCUCUUUUCAAUUUGUUUUGGCCACAGAUUUUACAACAGCAUGAUGGGCAAAACCAAUCUCCAUCUGGAACAUCCUCCAUACCAAGGCAACUUUUAUGGAAUGAGGAAGGACAUUGAUCGCAUAAAAUCAGUUCACCGCCAUAAUGACAAACAGAACAUAUGUGAUCAUUCUCACCUUGAUGACAAUUGUCCUUCAACCUUUCAGGUGGCUCCGCAGCAAAAUUUUGAAUGUCAUCAUGCAUUAUUUGCAUCUGGCAAUCUAAUAGAGACCUUCCAUCUUCCAGAAAGAUGCUGAUAGCUGGUCUGCAGUAUUUGCCACUUACAUGAAAUUCAAAGUCACUUAGAGCAUAAACCUCCCCACAACAAUUGCACUUGAUCCCAUCACGAUUUAUGCGACCUGUAAUUGGAUGCCUACCCUUUGAAGUAGAAUAAUGCACUUUUUCCCUUGGCAACACAACAUUGUUAUCUAUCAACCAAGACAGGACAGUCCGAGGCUUCUGAUGCGAGGGAUUAGGGAUCACAACCUGCUGCACUCUUUUGCUUGAUCGGAGAACACGAGUAGGACAAGUACCUCUUUUAUUAUUUUUUAAUUUGGCCAAACGUCUAGUUUUCCUUCCUUUCCUCAUCUCUGAGAGGAAGUUGUAAUAGUCUGAAAUGGCUUUUUGUUGAUUUAAGGAAAAUGCAGGAUGUGACUUUUCCUUUCCUUUCUUUUGGAUUUUUCUAGUCCCUCCAACUUUUAAUUUUUGAUGCAUAGCAACUUUUCUUAACAUUGAGAUACAAGAAGUCUGAGCAGAACAAUUUUCAAGCUUCAGCAACUGCAUUUUAUUUAAAGCAGGAGAUAUUUUCUUGCUGGCCGACUGUAUCUCUACAGUCUUGCUAAGAGUUUUCCUUUCAAGAUGUGUAGUUGUAGAAGCAGGACCCCAGGAAGCUCUUUCAUUUCUAGAAUCCUUGCAGGCUGCUCGAAGUGAAUUAUAACAUCUCCCUUCUGGUGAUAUAUAGUACAACUCCUGCUUGCCGUUAUGGAUCUUAUAUCGAAAACUCCAUCCCAAAGCUGAGAGAUGCUUCUUUGCUCUCAUGGUCAUUUGUGUUAUAUCUUCUUUCUUCAUCUUGCUCCUUAGUCUCACCUCAUAUCCAAAUUUAUACCAGUCCACAGCUGCUUCAGGGCAAUAUUCAGGUUUGAUAGCAACUAUAUCUGACUGAGAAGAAACACCAUAUUCCUGAGUCUCUGGUGGUUGUUCAAUAAGAAGAGAAGGCGAAUUAGCUGGACAAUUAAACAGAUUUGUAUCCUUAUCUUGGGACAUUAAGGAAAGAAUAUCUGCAUGAGAUUUAGUCAAAUUUAAACAGACCUCACGAAGAGAGUAGAAGACCUUCCCAUCAGGUGAGAUGUAACGAAGUCUAAUCAUUCUUUCUCUCAAGUACUCAAUUUUCCACUUCAGAUACGCAAGAUGCUUCCUAACAUCAACACGCAGAUAUGAACUUUGAGGCCUUUUUCCACACAUAUUUACAUAUUUUGUAAUAGCAUCUGGGCAAAAUUCAGCUCCAGGAACCAGGUCUGGCCCAGCAGGUAGCCAACUGGAUUUUCUGCAUCUUGAACUUCCAUUAAUUUUAUUGCCAUUGUAACUGGAAAAACCUUCCUCAAUGCUUCUAGAAUUAGCAACAAAAAUUCCAUCCUGUUUAGAAGGCAAAACUGAUGAACCCUGAGGUAACACACAUGCUGUUUUUUCAUAGCAGGAUACAUUUGAUUCAGUCAGAAGACUCAUAGCUAACCGAUCAUUCAAUGAAAGACAUUCUACUUGGUGCACAUUAGACCUUUCUUUAACAGAAUGCACGCUAGAAGAUUUGGGGUAGAACAUGUUGCGAUUUAAUGUGUUUUGAACAAGUGGCAUAUGAUGAUUUUGGGCCAAAUCUGCUUCAGGAUUUGUAUUAAUAUGAUUUAAAGGUUUCACAGACUCCAACAGCCUCUGUACAUCUUCUGGAAUGCCUAUUACCUGGAAAAGAUGAUUCAUAGCAACUUCAAGGUUAUCACCAAUUGCCUCUGACACUAAAUUUUUCCACAAAUCUUUAUCAGAAGAAAUCCACUCGCCAAGCUUAUUAAAAUUGUCUUUCUCUCGCAAAUCAUACCAAAGUUGCUUUGUAGAAAUAGGAACAUAGUGUUCUUGCUCAUUUUCCUCAAUAACCUCAAGAAACAACCAUUUCCCACGACUCUGCCAAGUUCCUGUGACCUCACUCCAGUCCUGAGUAAUCCUUAUAUCAUCAAUGGGAGCCAUCAUUUCAUCACCCAAAUCGGGGAAAAAGAUCUUCCUCUCCUCUGAACCAUCUUCAUGAUCGAAAACCACACCUUCCCACCAACCUUCAUUGUAACACACAUCCACACACAUUCCAUAAUGGAGGUCCCAUUUGCCAAACUGAAGUGGGGGUGGUAACGGCCUAAUGCGACCACGAUAAUCACACAGGUUAGCAGUGGUAUGAUCAUUCUCAUCCACAAGCUGUGAAACAUGCACACCAUCGAUAAAAUGGUCAGACCCAUCAUCCACAAGUAUACGAUCGUAUUUGACAACAUAUUUGAGAUCCCAGCCAUUUUUAAAAUGAUCAAUAACAGUUCCUGGGUGCCAUGAACCUUUAAACCCUUCUUCCACACUCCUUACCUCUACUCUUUCAUGAUUAGAAAACUUAAUUGUUUUGCUUACUCUGCGGUUUCUUGUUGUAAUAGUGUCUUGUUCUUGAAACCCCAAUGCCAUUGAAAAGAAUGAGAUUGAAAAGGAUUGCUGAUAAACAAAAGGAGAAAGAAACUGUAAAAUCGCAGAGCAGAGAUACUUUGUUAACAGUGGUAGUCACUCAAUGCUUUCUCUCCAAGUAAAAGGAGGUUGGAAAC